GACGAACGCUGGCGGCGUGCUUAACACAUGCAAGUCGAACGGACAGGCCCUGCUUUUGUUGGUUGCUCGAUUGGCGAACGGGUGUGUAACACGCGAGUAACCUCCCCUUGUCUUUGUGAUAUCUUCACGAAACUGCGGCUCUUACCCGAUAUGAUCUCUUGCUCCAUGGUGUUGGUUGGAAAGUUUCGGCGGUUCGAGCUGGUCUCGCGGCUUAUCAGCUUGUUUGUCGGGUAGUGGCUUACCAAGGCUUUGACGGGUAGCCAGCCUGGGAAGGGUAACGGGGACAAUGGGACUGAGGGAGGGACCAGACGCCAACGGGAGGCAGCAGUGGGGAAUAUUGCACAAUGGGCGGAAGCGUGAUACAGCAACGCCGCGUGCGGGAUGACGGGCUUCGGGGUGUAAACCGCUGUGGCCUGAGACGAAGAGUGAGUGACGGUAAUGGGUAAAGAAGCACCGGCUAACUACGUG
Molecule: ribosomal RNA, 468 nt
Filed under: uncultured bacterium
Lineage: Bacteria
Description: partial 16S ribosomal RNA
Rfam family: Bacterial small subunit ribosomal RNA
Source: RNAcentral